GACGAACGCUGGCGGCGUGCUUAACACAUGCAAGUCGAACGGACAGGCCCUGCUUUUGUGGGGUGCUCGAUUGGCGAACGGGUGAGUAACACGUGAGUAACCUGCCCUUGUCUUUGUGAUAACUUCAGGAAACUGGGGCUAAUACCGGAUAGGAGCUCCUGCUGCAUGGUGUGGGUUGGAAAGUUUCGGCGGUUGGGGAUGGACUCGCGGCUUAUCAGCUUGUUGGUGGGGUAGUGGCUUACCAAGGCUGUGACGGGUAGCCGGCCUGAGAGCGUGACCGGCCACAUGAGGACUGAGAGACGGCCCAGACUCCUACGGGACGCAGUAGUGGGGAAUAUGGCACAAUGGGCGGAAGCCUGAGGCAGCAACCCCGCGUGCGGGAUGACGGGCUUCGGGUUGUAAACCGCUUUCGCCGGUGACGAAGCGUGAGUGACGGUAAUGGGUAAAGAAGCAACGGCUAACUACGUG
This 468-nucleotide ribosomal RNA is filed under the name uncultured bacterium. RNAcentral's name for it is "partial 16S ribosomal RNA". It matches the Rfam family "Bacterial small subunit ribosomal RNA", at positions 28 to 507 of the family's 1533-position model. The record is from RNAcentral.